CAUAGAAGCAUGUGCUUAGUGGUGUAGUGACUUAAAUAUCUUAAUGAUUCAGGUCUGUCUUCAGCUGCUGUGGCAGGAAUAUGUGUUGCUGUUGGUGUUGCUGUUGUUCUGUUGUUCGUGGCUGCAGCUGCUGCUGGUGUGAUUUACUACCGCAAGCGUCCUCAAGCAGGACAGAAUAUUCAAACAGACCCCACAGCACAAGCCAGUGAUCAGUUGGGUCGUUUACAA
This is a long non-coding RNA of Cyprinus carpio (common carp), 228 nucleotides long. RefSeq lists it as uncharacterized. The record is from RefSeq and is a predicted model, not a curated record. The transcript is spliced from 4 exons. Lineage: Eukaryota; Metazoa; Chordata; Actinopteri; Cypriniformes; Cyprinidae.